RNAcentral lists this long non-coding RNA (3041 nucleotides) under Lactuca sativa (garden lettuce). RNAcentral's name for it is "long non-coding RNA (LSAT_LNC005508)". Lineage: Eukaryota; Viridiplantae; Streptophyta; Magnoliopsida; Asterales; Asteraceae. The record is from RNAcentral.
UGUUAGCUACAGUCCGUCAUUUGGGGUGACAAACGUCAACAUUAGGUACUGCGUCUAGUAUGGUUAUGAGGAACUCACAACACGCGGAAACAAUGACUCAUGCACGUAGUAAUACUUAACUCAAUCAUGCUCGAGGGGUAAUAACUAUAUUCUAGGGUAUUAUCGGCAUGAUCAAAACUCAGGUUAAAACACUUCCACAACUAGUUUUACUUAACAAUAAGACUNUAUGGUAUUAUGUUUUUAUGAAUGAGUAGCUAUUAAAACUAUUCUUCAUCUAACAAGUGCGAUCUUCGUAUAGCUUUAUUAUAUAAAACUAUGCCACAACUUUUAAGCACGUCGGUUGCUUGCGAUUUUCGGUCUUAGAGACUGCCAGUUAUGUUAGGAAAAUAAGGGUUUUUCCUGUAUACAAACCAAACAACUAUUAGGAAAAUAAGGGAUUUUCUUGGUUCAACUAGCUACAUUUUUCAACACAAAUACUCUCAUGCAUUUCAUACUUUUAUAAGAAAAUAAGGGAUUUUCUUGGAAAAAUAUACACUCAUUUUGGAAUGGCAUUCAAUGUUUCUAAAUCACUUAUGAACUCACCAACUUAAUUGUUGACACUUUUUCCUUGAAAUAACUUGUAUUCUCAGGGAACCGUUAAGCAGGUUUGGAAAUCAACUUUUGAGGAUUAACGUGCUGACGUUAAUUACUUCUUUUGAAAAAUGUUUAUGUAUUUAUCUGUUGAACAUGUAACGAAUACAAUUAUGUAAACAUUUUGGAAACCUUAAUAUGUAUGGUGGUGUGUACUUUCCUUUCUAUGAACUGUUAUGAUACUGAAUAUGACGUCCUCCGCCCCUGAACGUUUCCGCCGUUCUGGUUUGGGUGUGUGAUAGAUUGGUAUCAGAGCAUUGUUUAUAGUGAACUAAGUAUAUCAAAACCAUUUUUGAUAUACAACUAUAAACACAACUGGGCAAAAACACUCUGAGUAAGAGUCAUACUUUUAAAAUUAAAUUUAUUUAGUUUUGUAAAGUAGGCAUGCAUUCAUUUCAUAUUAAUAACAUGGUCGGUAUCAUAACUAAAACAAUAUAGAAGUAUUAUAAAUAAGUUGUGCAGUGCAGGUAUGCCUUGGGACAUGUAAUCGGAACUGGGAAGAAUAUAGCCUGAUCAACUAUAUUUGUCCAAGAGCCGACUAACGUAUGCCAAGGAGUGUCUGCAAUGGACAACAAAUUUAAAACUUACCAAACUUAUAAACUUUAGAAUCAAACAUAACAUUUAGAAUACUAUAGGAAUAUUUUAUGAAUACGAUAGUUUAACGUUGAGGUCAACCUUGUGUGCCUUAGUUCUAGACAAUCCUUAUCUCCUUAUUCUCGUACAAACACAAUGGCUGGAUUUCCACCUAGCAGGAGACCCCUACUACCCAUACCAGUAGACCCUUUCACUUUAACCAUCGACUAACGAAACUCGAUCGAUUUAUCACGACAAACCCGACACUAAACCCAAUUGGUUUCAAGUUUCAAAACCCCGAGGUACUCAUGUGAGGAGUACUAUAUCUUUACAACCUUCCCGUAGUAUCCCCCAACAGAUCAUUUAGAAAUACCACACAUACAACGAGUCAAAUCCAAGCUCAGAAACUAGGAGUGAAUUCAACCAUGAACUUCAAAACGUAGCUGCCCUAAUGCAUCGAGUGAAUAUUCUAACAUUUAGAAGAACAUAAGUAAAUAAACCCAAAACCACACGAUCCCGAUCGAUCGAAGUGAUAGGUGGAGUAAUGAAGGUCCGCUAAAACACGCACGUUAGGAUCUAGAUUCAUAAAGGAACAAGAGGAACAAAUCGACCAGAAGCACUCACGCCUGCCCGCAAGAACUGGAGUCCCAGUCAAAAUGCGAAUUUCGGGACGAAAUUCUCUCUAACGGGGGGAUAAUGUAACAACAGCAAAAUUCAGGUAAAAAUUCAACUUUUAUAAAACCGUAAUUGAUUAUACUAAGUGGUAAAUAUUGNNNNNNNNNNNNNNNNNNNNNNNNNNNNNNNNNNNNNNNNNNNNNNNNNNNNNNNNNNNNNNNNNNNNNNNNNNNNNNNNNNNNNNNNNNNNNNNNNNNNCACAACUUCACCCUCUUGGGAUACAAUAUGUUUUAUAAAUAGAAGAAGGUUUUAUUUAUACGUUUGUAUACUACAUCAUAUCAAGAGUAACCAUUUCAAAUAUAACAUGAUGCUUUUACAAGAAAACUCAACUCAUCAUCACGUUUUUGUAACACGGUAGAAAACGAAAUCAUUUCAUACGAACGAUUUUCAUCAUAUUACUCGUGAACUUGUUGUUAGCAAUCAUGUGAUGGCAUAUGGCUUUGUUUGUACCAAACGAAAGUCCUCACCUAUAACCAGAGUCUCCUGGAGGGAGAGCGUGACAAGUGUGUAUAGAUCUAUACGGGGCUGACAACUCCGCACCCUGACUGUUAGCUACAGUCCGUCAUUUGGGGUGACAAACGUCAACAUUAGGUACUGCGUCUAGUAUGGUUAUGAGGAACUCACAACACGCGGAAACAAUGACUCAUGCACGUAGUAAUACAUAACUCAAUCAUGCUCGAGGGGUAAUAACUAUAUUCUAGGGUAUUAUCGGCAUGAUCAAAACUUAGGUUAAAACACUUCCACAACUAGUUUUACUUAACAAUAAGACUGCACCUCACUUUUAGGAAAAUAAGGGAUUUUCCUGGUUCAAAUACAUUCAUUUUGUACAAUAACGAUUUACAACAUCAUUCUUUUGAGCAUGUCAUAAUUUCUUAUAGCUUACAGUCUUGGUCAUUUGAGACUGCAUUUCACUUUUAGGAAAAUAAGGGAUUUUCCUGGUUCAAAUACAUAUAGUACAUACAACAAUCUUUCAAACUCAUUUCAUACAUCAAAUAGAAAAUAAGGGAUUUUCUGGAAAACAUACAAGCACUUUCGAAUGGCAUACAUUUUCUCAAAACACCACUUAUGAACUCACCAACUUAAAUGUUGACAAUUUUUCUUUGAAAUAACUUGUAUUCUCAGGAAACCACUAGACCAGGUAGCAACUACUUUUGAAGACUAAC